Molecule: signal recognition particle RNA, 266 nt
Filed under: Candidatus Rokuibacteriota bacterium
Lineage: Bacteria; Candidatus Rokuibacteriota
Description: signal recognition particle sRNA large type
Rfam family: Bacterial large signal recognition particle RNA
About the family: The signal recognition particle (SRP) is a universally conserved ribonucleoprotein involved in the co-translational targeting of proteins to membranes.
Source: RNAcentral
CCGUGCUAGACGGGGAGGUAGCGGUGCCCUGUACCCGCAAUCCGCUAUAGCGGGGUCGAAUUCCCUCCCGAGGUUCCCCCGUUUUGGACUGAGCCUCGCGGGGAGGCGAUGAAGGCUGGGCCCCGCGCGACGGGAACCUGUGAACCCCGCCAGGCCCGGAAGGGAGCAACGGUCAACAGGCCCUCCCGUGUGCCGCGGGAUCCCCUGGCCGGAGCCGACCCCUCGGGGAGAUCGCAGGGCGGGCGGGAUCGACGGAGGGUGCACGG